Molecule: non-coding RNA, 72 nt
Organism: Trichomonas vaginalis G3
Lineage: Eukaryota; Parabasalia; Trichomonadida; Trichomonadidae
Source: Rfam
GCACUGCUAGUGUAGUGGUUAUUAUGAGAUCCUUCCAAGCUUUUGAUCCGGGUUCGAUUCCCAGGCAGUGCA